AUGGAGACCGUCGUGAAGAAACCGGAGAGCCACUUCGUGCUGGUCCACGGCCUCUGCCACGGCGCGUGGUGCUGGUACAGGCUGGCCACCAUCCUGCGUUCCGCCGGCCACCGCGUCACGGCGCCCGACCUGGCCGCGUGCGGCGCCAGCCCGGUGCGCGUCGACGAGGUGCGCUCGUUCGCCGAGUACAGCCGGCCACUGACCGACGCCGUCGACGCGGUCCCGCCAGGCGAGAAGGUGGUCCUCGUCGGCCACAGCUACGGCGGCUACAGCCUUGCGCUGGCCAUGCACGCUCACCCGGACAAGGUGGACGUCGCCGUCUUCGUCGCCGCGGCCAUGCCGGCCGCCGGGUGCCCCAUGUCACAUCUACUGUCGCAGAUCAUGGAGGAAACGGCGCCGGACGCCGCCACGGACAGCGUGCCCGCGGUGACCGGCGGGGCGGAAACGUUUCUCCUGGGCCCCGAACGCCUGUCGCGGCGUCUGUACCAGCGAAGCCCGCCCGAGGACCUGGCGCUGGCGACGGCGCUGGUGAGGCCGGCGCGGUGGUUCCUCGACGACGCGGCGAUGACGGAGAGCGUCCUGACCGCCGACAGGUACGGCGCGGUGAGGCGCGCGUGCGUGGUCACCGAGGAGGACGCGACGUGGGCGGCGGAGUCGCAGCGCCGGAUGGCGUCGCGGUGCCCCGGCGUGGAGGUGGUGGCCGUCGAGGGGGCCGACCACAUGCCCAUGUUCUCCACGCCCCACCGACUCGCCGCGAUCCUCAUGGAGAUCGCCGACAAGUACAUCUGA
This 789-nucleotide ribosomal RNA is filed under the name Triticum aestivum (bread wheat). Its description in RNAcentral is "partial small subunit ribosomal RNA". Lineage: Eukaryota; Viridiplantae; Streptophyta; Magnoliopsida; Poales; Poaceae. The record is from RNAcentral.